RNAcentral lists this ribosomal RNA (378 nucleotides) under uncultured eukaryote. Its description in RNAcentral is "partial 18S ribosomal RNA". It matches the Rfam family "Eukaryotic small subunit ribosomal RNA", at positions 592 to 976 of the family's 1831-position model. The record is from RNAcentral.
CAAUAGCGUAUAUUAAAGUUGUUGCGGUUAAAAAGCUCGUAGUUGGAUUUCAGCCGAGGACGACCGGUCCUGCCUCGCGUAGGAACCUGGUUUGGCCGAGGCAUCUCUUGGUGUACGUGAUGGCUAUCGAGUUAGCUGCACGGACUCCAGGGCAUUUACUUUGAGGAAAUUAGAGUGUUUCAAGCAGGCAUCUGCCUUGAAUAUAUUAGCAUGGAAUAAUAGGAUAGGACUUCGGUCCUAUUUUGUUGGUUUCUGGGACUGAAGUAAUGAUUAAUAGGGAUAGUCGGGGGCAUUCGUACUUAACUGUCAGAGGUGGAAUUCUUGGAUUUGUUAAAGACGAACUACUGCGAAAGCAUUUGCCAAGGAUGUUUUCAUUGA